CCCCUCCCUGCCUGCCCUGGCACACUCCAGGUACACUGUGUCCCGGGAUGUGGGGUGGGGGUGGGGGGUGGAAACCUUGCAGACACCCCAGGAGACUGGGGUGUAGGAAAGGUCCCCACCCCCCAGGAAGAGUCCUGGUUUGGGCAGACAUCUGAGCUCCCGCCCUGCGGCUGUCAUCCUCACAAUGGCCCCACCAGACCCGAGGGGACAGAGGCCCAGAGGAGGAAGGAGAAGCCUUGUGGCUGGGUGGCAGGAUUCACCAAAUUUCUACUUCCAUCUGCAACUAACAGUUACGACCCCCCACCAUGCCAAGACCUCCAGAGGCCUCCCAGAGUGGUGGGAGAAGGGGACGAUCAACUUGUCUGGCGGGCCACACCUGCCGGGCUGGGUGAGGUGAAUGCCUCUCCCGAGUGGGCAGAGCCCAUUCAGGUCCGGCCGGGGCGUGGGGGGCGGCGCGAAACGCUAGAAUGGAGGGGCGAGAAGGCAGAGGGCUGCGCGAACCGGCCACGUGGAGGUCCAGAGCGACAAGCAGGGGAGGGAGCCGCGAGUAGGCCGUAAGCUCGCUCCUCCCGCUCGAGGGAGCCUCCGAGAGAGUUGAGUCGUCGCUGACCGCAGGCUGCAAGAGCGGUUGAUCUGCCUGGAGACUCCAGUGAUUCCCAGGGGCUGGCAAACCAAGCCCAACUUUCGGCUAGCUUGGGAACCCCCUGGCUGGACGCCAGGAAAGGAGGUCCCUGAGCGCUUGGCCUAAAGGUUCCUGGACCAAGGAAGGGACAAAGGACUUAGAUACCGAGCACCUACCAUCUGUAAGGAUGAGUUCGCCCCUGCUAAGGAGAUCAUUAAAAAAGUUUCCAACGCAAUUCGGAAAGUCCUUUCUUCUCCCUUCUUCCAACCUCCACAGUCUGCUGUGCCAUUUCCCCCAUGCUGGGAGGACCCAUCUUCCAAGGUCUACCCACCUCUCAAGCUCCAGCUCAUAAAGCCUGUUUGGAACAGUGCCGGCCAAAUCUGAUUCCUCUCUCCUCUGAAAGCCCAGCACACUCAGUCUGUACCUUUCUCAGGGCACAGCAUGUGGCCUGUCUCAUAUUCUAGUGAUCUGUUUACUAAUCCUGUUCUUCUAACCAGAUUAGAAAGUCCUUGAGGCAGAAACAAAGUCUGCUUCUCUGAGCCUUCUCCCAUGGCUUGAGCUCAUCCCCCACAGGCCAAGCUUGGCACUGGAGUUGAUGUUCAAUAAAUGUUAGGUGUAUUGAAAUGAUUUCCUGCCCUUGGGCAGUUUGCAGGCCAGUUGAAGAGACAAACACAUGGCAUGUGAGGUUAAAUAAUAACCCAAGCCAGCAGGUGGUGAGUACCAAAUGUGUGAAAGCUAUAGGGAAUCAGUGGGAAGGAGACGGUGAUAAGGGAGAAAGAUCCCCGAAGGCUCUAGGCUUUGAGCUGUGUGUGUGGAGGAGGAGAGAGAAGGUGUGGAGGUGACUCAGUCUGGUUUACAUCACCGCAGACCCGCCUACACACUAGGCACUUCACCAUGCAUUAUCUCUAAUAUUUAAGAGAGCGGGCUGGGUUUGGGAAGAGUGGAGGGGACCCAAGCCAGACGUGCCCAGAGCCAACAAGAGCUCAGAGGCAGCCUUGGAUCUGGGCUUCCCACUCUCACUCCCCAGGCACUGCCUGUUCCCUGGCCUGCCGCUCCUACAUACUACACCCAAGAGAGCUGCCCAGCACUGCCCAGCUCUGGAUGCCCUCUGGUCCCUCCCUAGUGCACAACUGGCUGUGUGACCUUGGGCCAGGCACUUCCUUCCCUACACCUCUCCGUCGUCGUCGUCUGUGCCUCCAUUGCGGCAUUUCCAGGCUGUGACUCUGUGAGUCAGUGUCCCAGGGAUGCUUGCCACCUCCCCUGAUGUGACCUGGGCUGCUGUGGCUCUCCCCUCCCCUAGCCCCUACCCCCCUUGUUGCUUCC
Molecule: long non-coding RNA, 1945 nt
Organism: Bos taurus (domestic cattle)
Lineage: Eukaryota; Metazoa; Chordata; Mammalia; Artiodactyla; Bovidae
Source: Ensembl